RNAcentral lists this transfer RNA (61 nucleotides) under Eriosoma lanigerum (woolly apple aphid). Its description in RNAcentral is "tRNA-Asp". Lineage: Eukaryota; Metazoa; Arthropoda; Insecta; Hemiptera; Aphididae. The record is from RNAcentral.
AAAAAAUUAGUUAAAUUAAAUAACAUUAAUUUGUCAAAUUAAAAUUAUUAAUAAUAUUUUU